Non-coding RNA from Leptonychotes weddellii (Weddell seal), 4123 nucleotides. Lineage: Eukaryota; Metazoa; Chordata; Mammalia; Carnivora; Phocidae. The record is from RefSeq and is a predicted model, not a curated record.
UCCUGUGGUCUAAUGCCAUUUCAUAGUCCUGCAGAAACUCUAGGUUUUUAUGUACUCUAGGUUCUUAUGUAUUUUUCACUGACAAAUCUUAUGUUGGAAACUAGUUGACUUGGCAAUCCAUUGUAGUUUCAGGUGUUGAGACUGGAAACGAGUACAGGAAUUUAAAGCAAGAAGUUUCUGAAGAAAUGGAACCAUAUGAGAAUAUGUCUAGAUUUGAAAGUGAAGUGUCCCAGCCCGCUCGGUGCAGAAAAGCUGAUGAAUCUGAAGCAAAAACAGAAGAAUUAUCUGGACACUCCAGGAAAGGUGAACAAUCUACAGGUGAUGAAAACAGAGUCAGUCUGACUGAACAGCAGAGGGUCUGUCUGGGAGAAAAACCUCACGAGUGCAAGGAGUGUGGGAAAGCCUUUAGUCAGCACUCGCGUCUUAUAGAACAUGAGAGGGUCCAUACUGGAGACAGGCCCUACAAAUGCGAGGAAUGUGGAAAAACUUUCCGUGGGAGAACUGUGCUUAUUCGGCACAAAAUAAUACACACCGGAGAGAAACCAUAUAAAUGUAAUGAGUGUGGCAAAGCCUUUGGCCGGUGGUCAGCUCUUAACCAACAUCAGAGACUUCACACAGGAGAGAAGCACUACCACUGUAAUGAGUGCAGCAAAGCCUUUAGCCAGAAAGCAGGCCUCUUUCACCAUCUCAAGAUCCACACAAGAGACAAACCGUACCACUGUACUCAGUGUAACAAAAGUUUCAGUCGGCGCUCCAUACUUACUCAGCAUCAAGGAGUUCACACUGGGGCAAAGCCCUAUGAGUGCAGCGAGUGUGGAAAAGCCUUUGUUUAUAACUCAUCCCUUGUUUCCCACCAGGAGAUCCACCACAAAGAAAAGUGCCAUCAGUGUAAGGAAUGUGGGAAAUCCUUCAGUCAGAGUGGCCUUGUUCAGCAUCAGAGGAUCCACAUUGGGGAGAAACCUUACAAGUGUGACGUAUGUGGAAAAGCCUUUAUUCAGAGGACGAGUCUUAUAGAACAUCAGCGAAUUCACACUGGGGAGAGACCCUAUAAAUGUGAUAAGUGCGGGAAGGCUUUCACUCAGAGAUCUGUCCUCACGGAACAUCAGAGAAUCCAUACUGGAGAGAGGCCCUACAAGUGCGAUGAGUGUGGGAAUGCCUUCCGUGGAAUCACCAGCCUCAUUCAGCAUCAGAGAAUCCACACUGGGGAGAAACCCUACCAAUGUGAUGAAUGUGGCAAAGCCUUCAGACAGAGGUCAGAUCUUAGUAAACACCAGAGAAUCCAUACUAGAGGUGGUCCCUGUAAAGAGUGUGGGGAAUCGUUCAGGCAGACCUCAGCUCUCAUUCAACAUCAGACUAUCCACAGAGGAGAAAAGCCUGUUUCUCUGUGAUGGCUACAGGGAAGCUGUGUCACAGAGUGCGGGCUGGAGAGAAGUCCCGGCUUUGAAGUCAUUUAGGGAAAAUGCCAGUCACUGUUGCUAUAAGGAAACCUCAGCUAUUUCAUAAAGAAUUCCCUGUGUGCUGCCCGUUCUGUCAGGUGCUGUGGAGAUCAAGAAGCAUAACACCAAAUUCCUCUUCUCCGAAGUUUACAGUUUAGUUGGGGAUAGCUAAAUACCACGUGUGAGGUUAGGUGAGACUGCAGGGGGACAGGAGAAUUGAUGGCGCGAGUCCUGUGUCUUGGAAGUGGCUUGUGGCGCACAGUAAGUGCUGUCCAUCUGGGAGGACGGACCACCGACGCCUCGGGGUCAGGAAAGAGCUUACGAAAAGGGUUGGGUGGGCAGAAUUGGAAGGCAAAAUGGAAAGCAUUUAGGGUGAAGGAAAUGCAGGCCGAGUGCUCGUGGUUUGGCGGCGUCCGAGCCGACCUGAGGUCGAGGGUCCGUCCGGUUGGGCGGGUGAUGGCGGUAGGCUGGCUACAGAGCUUGGGGACAGACUGCGGGAGGGUGCGCGUGCCUCUUAGCACUUUUCUGGCUUCGUUCCUAAAAUCUCUCUGUAAAUUGAAAUCACUGUCCAUUGGAAAGGUGAGGACUCUUGCAGGUGGAGAUGGUGACAUGGCUACCAUGUCACACAAGGGAAAGACCAGCCCCUGAAGAGUAGGUCUCUGACUUCAAGUCCUGUCCGUUGCUCUGGGGAUCCCUCCACUUCACUGAGCAUCAGAAUUGCGUGUGGAGCUCGUUUAAAAUGCCCACGUCCCACUCACGGACCUUCUGCCUCGUUAAGUCUGGGAUGGGGGCCGGGAAUCUUCAUGUUUGUAGCCGGUCACCUGAUGCUGCAAUUUGAGAAGCCGCGCAUUGAGUCCCAGCUGCCUUCAUGGUUGCCUGUGGAGCGUGGACGCGUGCGCGCAGUCCCGUCAACAGGCACUGCUGCUGGUUUAGAGCGGAGGGGAAGCCGACGGAGGAGAGGUGCAACCGGUACUUUAGAGAGAGGCUGAGCGCUGGCCAGCUGCCGGGGCUUCAGGCUGGCCUGCCCACCCCUUCACAUUUAAGGGUGUCAAAAUAGCCUCCUGACCUGCAUUCGAAGGCUGCAGGGGCCAUCUGAGCACAAGGCUGUGUGUGUUGUCAGGGGAGGGUGCUAGUGUCCUCUCCUUGGCUCCUGACCUCUCUUUUCCCCCGAUUACGUAGUUCUCACGUUCUGAAUUCCCCGAUAACUGCUCUUCAGAACUGGUUUACAAUUUUUUUGGUUUGUAUACCUUCUUGAGCCCAUAAAAGAGCCAAAGAUUAGUGACUCUGUCCCUUGGGACUUGUGAAACCAUGAACCGAUAACUGGUUGACUUUACUCCUGUUUUACUGAGUAAACAGUUCGGUCCUAGAUGAGGGCCUGUGAUGAUUAUUGUGGGCAGUCGGCAGCCAGAGAGGCACACAUGGCUCCUGGUCUGUUGAUCUUUUUAUUUACAGAGACUAUUUUUAAUCUUCACUCAGCUGUCCUCCAGUUUCCCUCCCUUGCUACCUUGCCACAGUAGACUCUGCAAUUUCUGGGACUACCUCCCCACCCUACCUCAUCCCACAGGACUCCAGGAUCCUCUCCACCCCUCACCUCUAGCUGGUUAGUGGGUUUGAAGUGGUGAGACAAAAGGGGGAGGGGAGAAAUGGGUAAUUGCCCUCCUUUAACUACUCUUAACUGCCAUUGUAUCCAGCCCUGUGUCUCUAUCCCAUCUCCUCCCUGCUCCUGUAAUGUACUCUGCCCCCUUUCCCUUCGGCCCUUGUCUCCUAUCCCUCUAUCCGUAGCCCUAUCCAGAACAUAAGAGUAUCAGCACGGGCUUGGAACCACAAGGGUUCCUGGAGAAAUAGCUAUGUAACUUUUAAGCUCUAAGUGUGAGCACAUUUUCCCAUAAGAAGAAUAAUGGUAUUAGUACUAUAAUUUAGGCAUAUAAUGACACAUGUGUCAUUUGCUUUUGGGAUUGGAAUUUACAUGACCAUGGGAAAACAUCCUGAGUUCACAAUAGAAGAAAGCAAAUGAACAUUUGAAAAAACAACUCAGAGUCACAAGUUGAGGACUCUCUCUUUAGGUGUUUAUCCUAAGACCAACAUGGGAGCUGCACACAUGAGACACUGAGGCAGCCAGGGUUGGGGAACUAACCUUUUACAUCCAGAAAACAGUUUGUUGCCCCGAGUGAGCCUGAGAGCUUGAGCUGUGUGUUCCUGCUCCCUUCCCCAGCUCACCCUGCCUUGCAUUUCUCACUCUGGCAAGCUCCUCGCUGCUUAGUGAUGAGAACCCGUAUGAGCAUGUCCUCUUCACCAACUAAUGCUAUUCGUGCUUGUCACCUGAUCUGAUGUCAGACACGGUAUCCAAACUGAAGUUACUCUUUGACCUCUCUCGAAUCCUACUGCUCACUGGAACACGAUUCUUACUUUAAACUUGCUUUCUGUUCACAGCGCUGUUACAGGUUAUGCAGUUCAUCUUCUGCUUAACACGUUCUCAACGCAGACGCGUGCCUCCAUUGGCCUCUAACGCCUUUAAUUGCCUAAUAUAAAGGAGCCAUAGAUAGAGACCCAGAACAUCGGGAUAUGCCUGUGAUAUAGCAUACAGUUCAUAACUUGUUUAAAAAUAAAGGAAGAAGACGAGCUACAAGGAAAUACUUCUGAAAAACCGUUGUGAACCCCAGGCUGGCGUGAAUCUUCUCCUGAGUGCU